RNAcentral lists this long non-coding RNA (234 nucleotides) under Elaeis guineensis (African oil palm). Its description in RNAcentral is "long non-coding RNA (EGUI_LNC067779)". The record is from RNAcentral. Lineage: Eukaryota; Viridiplantae; Streptophyta; Magnoliopsida; Arecales; Arecaceae.
GCUAGUUGCUUAUAGUUCCGUACGCAUCCAGUCUCUACAAAAAAUUCAUUCGAAGCCCCGAUCUGAUCGGUCUUCUCGAGAAUGCUAGCUCUCAUGAAGACCUUCUUCUUGACUUAUCUGAAUCCUUUCUUUAAAUCUUUAGAAUCUUUUUAGAGAUUGAGGAUGGACUUUUGGAGGAUAUGAAGAGGUGGAAGAAAGAUGGAGAGGUAAAUAUUUUUUUCUCUUCCCAAACCC